UACGUAGGUGGCAAGCGUUAUCCGGAUUUACUGGGUGUAAAGGGCGUGUAGGCGGGGACGCAAGUCAGAUGUGAAAACCACGGGCUCAACCUGUGGCCUGCAUUUGAAACUGUGUUUCUUGAGUACUGGAGAGGCAGACGGAAUUCCUAGUGUAGCGGUGAAAUGCGUAGAUAUUAGGAGGAACACCAGUGGCGAAGGCGGUCUGCUGGACAGCAACUGACGCUGAGGUGCGAAAGCGUGGGGAGCAAACAGG
This 253-nucleotide ribosomal RNA is filed under the name uncultured bacterium. RNAcentral describes it as "partial 16S ribosomal RNA". It matches the Rfam family "Bacterial small subunit ribosomal RNA", at positions 524 to 776 of the family's 1533-position model. The record is from RNAcentral.